UCCUUGGUGGUUCAGUGGUUAAGACUCUGAACUCAUAAUGCAGGGGGCCCAGGUUCGAUCCCUGGUCAGGGAA
Bos taurus (domestic cattle) is the source of this 73-nucleotide non-coding RNA. NCBI's taxonomy places the organism in Eukaryota, Metazoa, Chordata, Mammalia, Artiodactyla, Bovidae. The record is from Rfam.